UUCCUACGGGCGGCUGCAGUCGAGAAUCUUCGGCAAUGGGCGCAAGCCUGACCGAGCGACGCCGCGUGGAGGACGAAGGCCUUCGGGUUGUAAACUCCUGUCGAGGGGGAAGAAGCCGCAAGGUUGACUGAUCCCUGGAGGAAGCACGGGCUAAGUUCGUGCCAGCAGCCGCGGUAAGACGAACCGUGCGAACGUUAUUCGGAAUCACUGGGCUUAAAGCGCGUGUAGGCGGAACGGCACGUCGGUCGCUGAAAGCCCCCGGCUCAACCGGGGAAUGGGCGCCGAUACGACCGUUCUGGAGGAACGUAGGGGGACCUGGAACUUCCGGUGGAGCGGUGAAAUGCGUUGAGAUCGGAAGGAACGCCCGUGGCGAAAGCGAGGUCCUGGACGUUUUCUGACGCUGAGACGCGAAAGCCAGGGGAGCGAACGGGAUUAGAUACCCUAGUAGUCU
RNAcentral lists this ribosomal RNA (451 nucleotides) under uncultured Isosphaeraceae bacterium. RNAcentral describes it as "bacterial SSU rRNA". It matches the Rfam family "Bacterial small subunit ribosomal RNA", at positions 336 to 796 of the family's 1533-position model. The record is from RNAcentral. Lineage: Bacteria; Pseudomonadati; Planctomycetota; Planctomycetia; Isosphaerales; Isosphaeraceae.